Molecule: ribosomal RNA, 502 nt
Filed under: uncultured bacterium
Lineage: Bacteria
Description: partial 16S ribosomal RNA
Rfam family: Bacterial small subunit ribosomal RNA
Source: RNAcentral
AUUGAACGCUGGCGGCAGGCUUAACACAUGCAAGUCGAGCGGGGUGAUGGUGCUUGCACUAUCACUUAGCGGCGGACGGGUGAGUAUGCUUAGGAAUCUGCCUAUUAGUGGGGGACAACAUCUCGAAAGGGAUGCUAAUACCGCAUACGUCCUACGGGAGAAAGCAGGGGAUCACUUGUGACCUUGCGCUAAUAGAUGAGCCUGAGUCGGAUUAGCUAGUUGGUGGGGUAAAGGCCUACCAAGGCGACGAUCUGUAGCGGGUCUGAGAGGAUGAUCCGCCACACUGGGACUGAGACACGGCCCAGACUCCUACGGGAGGCAGCAGUGGGGAAUAUUGGACAAUGGGGGGAACCCUGAUCCAGCCAUGCCGCGUGUGUGAAGAAGGCCUUAUGGUUGUAAAGCACUUUAAGCGAGGAGGAGGCUCCUUUGGUUAAUACCCAAGAUGAGUGGACGUUACUCGCAGAAUAAGCACCGGCUAACUCUGUGCCAGCCGCCGCAGUAA